Molecule: long non-coding RNA, 1746 nt
Organism: Lathyrus oleraceus (garden pea)
Lineage: Eukaryota; Viridiplantae; Streptophyta; Magnoliopsida; Fabales; Fabaceae
Exons: 3
Source: RefSeq, a predicted model, not a curated record
UGGGGAAAGGGUGCAAGACCCAUGCUGAAAAGGUCCAUUGGAAAUUCACUGUAACAGAGAGGGGUGUAGCAGGAGACUACAUGAAGUGUAGUCAAUCCACUGAAUGGUCCUGAAGCCCAAACAAUCUCACAAAUGAGACCAAGCGGAGCCAGCCUCCCUCACGUGCCAUACCACACUCCAGCUCAACUCAAAAAUUCUCCCUCCAAUACUGACUAGAGAAGCGAGCUUUCGCCGCGCUGGAGCUCAUCACCGUCGACGGCGGAACUCCAAACAUGAAAAUCUACACAUCAAAAUCUCCCUCAUCACCUCCAUGAUCCAAAAGUCCAAUCAAAAUAACCUAAAUCCAAGUCCAUUGACCAAAUCGAAGCUAAAUGUUCAUGAACCCUAAGUCCGAUUUCCAGAAAUUAAACAGAAUAUAAUGAGGAUCAAAAUCCAACAGGUUAGGGCUUUGAUCCCCCUAACUUGACACUACAUUUCAGUAACCAUAUCGAAAUAGAACGAAAUGGAGUUAAAAAAUUACCUAUCAGAGACGAUGACGAAGAUGGCGGUGGUGGCGGCAAUAAGAACCUCAGGGUGGUUUUGCAGGAUACAUGAAGUCUGCAUUUGUCCUUACAGUGUUGUUUUGCACUGCUUGGGGAGUGUCCUAACUUGCAUUUACUCUGCAUAUAUUAUGUUCAGUUUGUGUGCCACUGACUUAGGUAAUUGGCAGGGUUCUUUGCAUCUUGGCAAGUUGAAGGUGAUUGUGAUUCUUGUUUGUGGAGUAGUUCAGUUGUGCUGAUGUAGCAGGGUGGCUCUACAGCUUAUGUGCUCAUGGUCUACUACCUUAGUUUGUGGUUUGCAUUAGAUUGUAGGUCUAUGUUGGUGGCAUGCUCUUAAUGUGGUCUGCUUGUUAAUGGACUUGUUUGAUGGUACAAGAUGUUGGUUGCAGGAUUUUGCUGGCAUAGUUGUUUAAUGUUUGCCAUUUGAUUUUGGAUGCAUGAAUGCUUCUUGUAGCAUGGCAUUGCAGUAAGAAUUAUUGUGGACUUGUGCAGCAGUUCUCCUGACUUGUGUUUCAUGUUGCAGCUUGCAAUGGCCUUUGAACUCUGACUUAUUUUAUGCAGGGAGCCUGCGGUUCUGUAGGUUUGUUCAUGUUUGGUGAAUGGUUUUGCAUCAUGGUUACAGGUCAGUAUGCAUUAUACAACAGGUAUGAGUGAAUUGCUUAAUGGAUCUUAUUUAUGCAGUAGGUAAUGAUGUGCAUUGUUGACUUGUUUGUAUCAUGGCCUAUGUUUUCUCAUGGUUUUCAUGGUGCAGCUUUGAUAUGCAUGGGUUGGCAAAUGGUUCAUGUAGCUUCACUCAUGCUCAUGACAAAAAUUCAUGGUUGCUCUGCAUUUUUGUAUUCAUUGCCUUAAAUUCUGACUUGUGAUUCACUUUGACAUGUUUGUGGAGUACAGGUCUUGGUCAUGUGCACAUGAAGGAUGGUUAGACAAGGCAACAUGAUGACCAAAAUUGGAAUUAUGAAGCAACAUGUACAAUUGGAAAACCAAAGAUCAAGAUGGGUUUUGAAGAUUAGGAUUAGAAUUGAGGAUUUAGGGUUUUAGGAUGGAAAAAAGUAUUGGGUUGACUUUGGUCAAAGUUGACCAAAAAGUCAAUUGUCGACCAAAGUCAACACUUGGUCAAAAUUGCCAAAUUUUGGUGUUUUUUUUUUCCAUGUAAUGAACAUUGUAAUGGAUUUUGUUAUUUAUGAAUUCAAUUGCAUUGGUUCUUGAA